CUAGAGAUGGAAUUGGUAGCUAGGGAACAGAGUUCCAAGCAAGAGGUGGUUUCAUAGUUAAUGGAAGGAAAUUUCCGCCCAUCCAGCUCUCAAUGUUGAACAGGCAAUCUAAUACUGCAACAGUAUUUGAGAAAACUGAUAGAGCCGAGUGUUGCUGUCAAUGGAAGCAAAGACUGGUGUGUAAUGUCGUCAAGGUACAGAAUGUCGUAGAAACAGGAGAUAAAAGAUUACUUCUACGAAAGCACCAGAGGUUGCAGUGCAAGGAAAGAGAAAGCAUUGCAGGUGAUUUUACUGCCAGGCGUAAGGACGGUGGCGGGUGCUGCUGCAAGAAAACCCUGUCACUGGAUGGUGUGAUCAACCCUGUCAAAGUUCGUGGAGACGGGACGAUUGACUAUUUACACGCCAGAUGAAGCAACACACCCCAAGGGGAAACCUCCACCACUAUAUCAGAAAGAUGUUAUUAUUGCGUUUAGGCACUGGUCUGCCCGAGGCGCCCAAUGAGGGCGAGUGGAGAGAGAGUCCCUGAAGGCGAGUGAAGCCGGUGGAUUAUUUACCAACUCGACGGGAGACUGUUUUACCUCCCCAGCGGCGCGACAACCCCACUUCGUCCUUUCCGCCACCUCCCCGAAGCCCGGCCAGCAGCGCGAUAACGCGGCGGUCUGUGUAAACAGCUGUGAGGUGAUGUGACGGAGGAGUCGCUGCCGGAGGGGGUGGGGACGGAGGGGGGAUAGCUCCAAACCAAUGUCGCAUUGUCUGGACACAACCAAAGGCUCCCCACCUCCCUAGACACAACCAAACCCCGCUCCGGGGACGAGGCGGGGCCACGAAGGUGGGCUAACACAGGCGAGCCAAAAUAAAAACAUCUUUUCGGAAAAAAACAGAAUGCCGGCCGCUCUGGUUAGGGACGGCGAUCUGUUGCAAGUUUCUCUCCCGUCGCCGAUCCCAGGCCCGGGGACUAUCCCAGAGAGACUUCCCCCAGGACCAGGAGAGGAGGAAACUCCGGCCUCAGAUCCUGCAUCAGAUUCACCGACAGACCGGGAGUGAGGGAUGGAGUUGGAAUGGAGCGAUUACUUACCUCAGGGAGAAAGAUGUUUCCAGAAAAGACGCAUCGCCAUUCAGAUCAGACCAGAUCGAAGGGCUGAUGAGGAAGGACACCACUUUGAUUGGGACAACACAUCCAUCCUAGGACAAGCCAAACAGAGACACGCAUGAGAAUUCCUAGAAGCAUGGCAUUCCAACCGGAACUCCAACAACAAACACAUUGACUUGGAGCCAAUCUACCAUCCCCUGAGAAAAGGAACAGGAAAUGACAUCACCAACACAGGAAAUGACAUAAUCAACCCCAGGAAACCUAACCAGAUAAAUAGAAAGCGGGACAUAACACCAGCGCUUCGUCGGAGGCUCACUGAUGAUGUUACCUAGAAUGGUGAUGAAACGUCUGAAAACUAACUUCCAGCUCAGCGAGCAAACUCACAUCCAGAAACUCAACCUGAGCUACAAAUCUUCUCAAAACUCGCUAACAGGAAGAAAUAUCAGGGACUUACGAGAAAGCCAUAGCAGUGAUCAUUCAGAAGAAAGCAAAAUGUCUGCGUUGCUGGAAAUCCAAAACAAACACAGAGGUUGCUGGAGAAACUCAGCAGAUCUGGCAGCAUCUACAGAGUGAAAAACAAAGAUUGUGUUUCCAGACCGUAUGAUUUCUUUGGAACUGAAAGGUGUUGGAAAAUGCUUUUUUUAUAUAUACGUUUGACAGAGGAGUUCACUCAGUGCAAAAGACAAAGGGGUUGUUAAUGGUGGAGAAAAAUAAAAAGAUAUAA
Stegostoma tigrinum is the source of this 1814-nucleotide long non-coding RNA. RefSeq lists it as uncharacterized. The record is from RefSeq and is a predicted model, not a curated record. Lineage: Eukaryota; Metazoa; Chordata; Chondrichthyes; Orectolobiformes; Stegostomatidae. The transcript has 4 exons.